Molecule: long non-coding RNA, 1225 nt
Organism: Nematostella vectensis (starlet sea anemone)
Lineage: Eukaryota; Metazoa; Cnidaria; Anthozoa; Actiniaria; Edwardsiidae
Exons: 2
Source: RefSeq, a predicted model, not a curated record
CAGAUUCCUAUGCUAAAACAAGUUCUCGAAUGUUUUUACAACAUUAGCAGUAAGCAAACAACUCGACAUUUUGACAUGUUUUCUUCUAGUCAUGUUAGACUAAGAUUAGCCCAUAGGUAGCCAAUGACGAAUUUGGUAUUUUGACGGGACGCGUGGGGGGCGAAACUGGGGGCGAUGUAAAUAUAGCUAUGAUUCAAAGGAAGCAGGCGGGAACGGUUUGAAUACAACCAAAUCCUGGAUCUCUUAGAUGGUCGCACGAUCGAUCUACAAACAACCUGCGGUGGAAACCUAAUAUCCACAAGCAAAACAAUACACACAUUGAAGGUCAGAUGGAGCUGCCCUUUGAAUUGAGUUAUUGAAAGGAGUAAUUGUAGCUAUUACGAAAAGUUUUCUCUAGACAUGGAGGUCUUCUUAACCUGGUGGUGGGCACCGUGUUCCAGACCGUACCAGCACCAAGGGAUGGCGGUGUACUAUCAAUAGACUCCAAAUUGUCUAGUGGUUUUUGAGAGGGAAAAACGGGAGUAUUCAUUUCUGUUCCGGAUAACUAAUUCUUCCGUCUGAAUUCCCUUGCUCUUAUCGUAGAGUUUAGACAUGCUAGAUUGAGCUGAAGCUAAACUUAUAAAGAAAAACACAUGUAUUGGCUUGGUGGCGCGAGUGGUAGCUGUCAUCUACCGUACCCAGCUCCUAAAUAGUACCGCUUAUCAGAUUAUAACAAUAAUCGAGUCUCAAAAUCGCUUUCUAUCUUUGUAGCGUUCUAAAAUUCUGAAGCAUGACAAUAAAGAGCUCUUAUCGCUUCCCGAAAAAUAUCGAACUGAAGAUAAGGAAUAAAUCCAAAGCGUUCCUCUAUAUUUUCUCUAGCACACUUAACAGCGCUUAAUUAGCACAAUUGAAUUUCAGUUAACUUGACUUGAAAGGAGUUUCCAAAGUAAACGUUUACUAUCUAUCUGGAAGGUAUUAUCCUGUCGAGGAUAGUGUAUUGUGCUCUAGAUGUAUACAUGUCCAGCAUGUACAAAUAUUCGUAGUGGCGAACGAAGGGAAACAUCUAAAUGAAGCACGUAGAAUGAGAGAAUUGGGAUUAAAAACUAUUGCACAACGGAACAAGGAUUAUACUCAACUGAAUUACAAUCAGAAGUGAUCCUCCAGAACAAAUAGCUAAAAUGGUCGGAAAACGUUCUAAGAGUUCAACAAAUAAAAGUCAACACACGUUUGCGUGAGACGUGUUAUG